ACAGUUUGAUCCUGGCUCAGGAUGAACGCUAGCGGCAGGCCUAACACAUGCAAGUCGAGGGGUAACAGGAGAGCUUGCUCUCGCUGACGACCGGCGCACGGGUGAGUAACGCGUAUGCAACCUACCUUUAACUGGGGGAUAGCCCGAAGAAAUUCGGAUUAAUACCCCAUACAACUAUAGAUAAGCAUUUAUUUAUAUUAAAAACUCCGGUGGUUAAAGAUGGGCAUGCGUAACAUUAGUUGGUGAGGUAACGGCUCACCAAGACUACGAUGUUUAGGGGGCCUGAGAGGGUGGUCCCCCACACUGGUACUGAGACACGGACCAGACUCCUACGGGAGGCAGCAGUGAGGAAUAUUGCGCAAUGGAGGCAACUCUGACGCAGCCAUGCCGCGUGCGGGAUGACGGCCCUACGGGUUGUAAACUGCUUUUAUACAGGAAGAACUUUCCGCACGUGUGCGGGAUUGACGGUACUGUACGAAUAAGCACCGGCUAACUCCGUGCCAGCAGCCGCGGUAAUACGGAGGGUGCAAGCGUUAUCCGGAUUUAUUGGGUUUAAAGGGUGCGUAGGCGGGAUAAUAAGUCAGUGGUGAAAUACUGCAGCUCAACUGUAGAACUGCCGUUGAUACUGUUAUUCUUGAGUUCGAUUGAGGUAGGCGGAAUGUGUAAUGUAGCGGUGAAAUGCUUAGAUAUUACACAGAACACCGAUUGCGUAGGCAGCUUACUAAGUUGACACUGACGCUGAGGCACGAAAGCGUGGGGAGCGAACAGGAUUAGAUACCCUGGUAGUCCACGCUGUAAACUAUGAUCACUAGCUGUUGGCGAUACAUCGAUCAGCGGCAAAGCGAAAGCAUUAAGUGAUCCACCUGGGGAGUACGGUCGCAAGAUUGAAACUCAAAGGAAUUGACGGGGGCCCGCACAAGCGGUGGAACAUGUGGUUUAAUUCGAUGAUACGCGAGGAACCUUACCUGGGCUUAAAUGCAGAUUGACGUUUCGGGAAACCGGAAUUCUCUUCGGAGCGAUUUGCAAGGUGCUGCAUGGUUGUCGUCAGCUCGUGCCGUGAGGUGUCGGGUUAAGUCCCAUAACGAGCGCAACCCCUAUCGUUAGUUGCCAGCGGAUAAUGCCGGGGACUCUAACGAAACUGCCGGUGUAAACCGAGAGGAAGGUGGGGAUGACGUCAAAUCAGCACGGCCCUUAUGUCCAGGGCUACACACGUGUUACAAUGGUCGGUACAGAGGGCAGCUACCUGGUGACAGGAUGCUAAUCUCGAAAGCCGGUCUUAGUUCGGAUCGAAGUCUGCAACUCGACUUCGUGAAGCUGGAAUCGCUAGUAAUCGCGUAUCAGCAACGACGCGGUGAAUACGUUCCCGGGCCUUGUACACACCGCCCGUCAAGCCAUGGAAGCUGGGGGUACCUGAAGUCUGU
This 1421-nucleotide ribosomal RNA is filed under the name metagenome. Its description in RNAcentral is "bacterial SSU rRNA". It matches the Rfam family "Bacterial small subunit ribosomal RNA". The record is from RNAcentral.